Molecule: transfer RNA, 76 nt
Filed under: Pseudomonadota bacterium
Lineage: Bacteria; Pseudomonadati; Pseudomonadota
Description: Proteobacteria bacterium (activated sludge metagenome) tRNA-Lys
Rfam family: tRNA
About the family: Transfer RNA (tRNA) molecules are approximately 80 nucleotides in length. Their secondary structure includes four short double-helical elements and three loops (D, anti-codon, and T loops).
Source: RNAcentral
GGGCCGUUAGCUCAGUUGGUAGAGCAGCUGACUCUUAAUCAGUAGGUCGAAGGUUCGACCCCUACACGGCCCACCA